RNAcentral lists this ribosomal RNA (1989 nucleotides) under Triticum aestivum (bread wheat). RNAcentral describes it as "partial small subunit ribosomal RNA". The record is from RNAcentral. Lineage: Eukaryota; Viridiplantae; Streptophyta; Magnoliopsida; Poales; Poaceae.
AUGGAGUCGUCGUCCGCCGCAGCUGUCGAGACGGCCGUCACGGUGCCGUCGCCGUCGACAUUCGACGUGUCCAGGCGGCCCGACACGGCCGGCCUCGUGCUCAACAGCCCCAGGCCGCCGAGCCUGCGCGAGGAGCUCGUCGGCGUGGUCGGCAAGGCGUUCCGCCCGCACGGGAGCGGCCACGGUGGUGACCGCCGGCCGCCGCGGUGGGCGUGGGCCCUGGCCGCGCUGCAGGCCGUGUUCCCGGUGCUGCAGUGGGGGAGGACCUACACGCUCAAGUCCUUCCGGAGCGACGUCAUGGCCGGCCUCACGCUCGCCAGCCUCGGCAUCCCGCAGAGCAUUGGAUACGCCAAUCUAGCGAAGCUGGACCCCCAGUAUGGCCUUUACACGAGCGUGGUGCCGCCGCUGAUCUACGCGGUGAUGGGGACGUCGAGGGAGAUCGCCAUCGGGCCCGUCGCGGUGGUGUCGCUGCUGCUGUCGUCCAUGGUGCAGAAGGUGGUCGACCCGGCCGUGGACCCCGUCACCUACCGCACGCUCGUCUUCACCGUCACCUUCCUCGCCGGCGUCUUCCAGGUCUCCUUCGGCCUCUUCAGGCUGGGGUUCCUGGUGGACUUCCUGUCGCACGCGGCGAUCGUGGGGUUCAUGGGCGGCGCCGCCAUCGUCAUCGGGCUGCAGCAGCUCAAGGGCCUCCUCGGCCUCUCCCGCUUCACCAACAGCACCGACGUCGUCGCCGUCGCCAAGGCCGUCUUCUCCGCGCUCCACGACCCCUGGCACCCGGGCAACUUCUUCAUCGGCUGCUCCUUCCUCAUAUUCAUCCUCGCCACGCGAUUCAUCGGGAGGAAGUACAAGAAGCUCUUCUGGCUGUCGGCGAUCUCGCCGCUGCUCUCGGUCAUCCUGUCCACGGCCGCCGUCUACGCCACCAAGGCCGACAAGCACGGCGUCAAGAUCAUCCGCGAGGUGCACGCCGGCCUCAACCCGAGCUCCGUCAAGCUCAUCCAGCUCAACGGCCCCUACACCACCGAGUGCGCCAAGAUCGCCAUCAUCUGCGCCGUCAUCGCGCUCACGGAAGCCAUUGCCGUCGGAAGAUCUUUCGCCACGAUCAGAGGGUACAAGCUCGACGGGAACAAGGAGAUGAUCGCCAUGGGGUUCUCCAACGUCGCCGGAUCUCUAUCCUCGUGCUACGUCGCAACAGGCUCCUUCUCCCGGACCGCCGUCAACUUCAGCGCCGGCGCCAGGUCGACGGUGUCCAACAUCGUCAUGGCCGCCACGGUGUUCAUCGCCCUGGAGUUCUUCAUGAAGCUCCUCUACUACACGCCCAUGGCGGUGCUGGCCUCCAUCAUCCUCUCGGCGCUCCCCGGGCUGAUCGACAUCAGAGAGGCGUGCAACAUAUGGAGGGUCGACAAGAUGGACUUCCUCACAUGCCUCGGCGCGUUCCUCGGCGUGCUCUUCGGGUCCGUGGAGAUCGGCCUCGGAGUCGCGCUUGCCAUAUCGUUUGCGAAGAUCAUCAUCCAGUCACUCCGGCCUCAGGUGGAGGUUCUGGGCAGGCUGCAAGGAACAAACACCUUCUGCAGCGUCAGGCAGUACCCCGUGGCGUGCCGGACACCGGCCGUGCAGGUCAUACGCAUCGAUACGUCCUUCCUCUGCUUCAUCAAUGCGACUUUCAUCAAAGAGAGGAUCAUGGAAUGGGUAAGGGCAGAAGUGGACACAUCCAAUGAGAAGGUCAGGGAGAGGGUGCACUCAGUUGUCCUUGACAUGUCAAAUGUGGUGAACAUUGACACUUCUGGACUUGUGGGACUGGAGGAAACUCACAAGGAGCUAGAGUCUCUGGGCAUACAGAUGGCUAUUGCCAGUCCAGGAUGGCAGGCAAUUCAGAAGAUGAAGCUGGCACACGUUGUUGACAGGAUAGGAGAAGACUGGAUUUUCCUGACAGUAGGUGAAGCAGUGGAAGGGUGUCUAACUGCACACAAGGGCAGUGCUAUGGAGUGUUGA